UAACAUUAUCACAUAAAUAAGUAACUUACCUCUUGAACUCGUCUCAAAAUAGGUUCUUUUGAAAUAUUUGAGAAAAUAUUUACUUUUCUUUUAAAGACAAUUAAGAACGUUGAUAAUUAAAUCAUGAAAAAGUAAAGAUAGAGUAGUGUAAUAUAAAAUAGUCAAAAAUACAACUAGGUAGUGUAAUGGAAACUAGUUGAACCAACUAAACACAUCGCAAAGUCAUGAUGGAACAAGGACAAAUCUAUCAUGAAGAAGUACUAGAACUUGGGUUAUCAAGAAACUAUUUUAACCAUAUCAUUUGGUAGUUAAGCUUUAAUUUACGUCUUUUACAGAUCUUCAUGCGAAGCCGUUCCAACUUAUAUUAGUUAAGGACAGAAGGGAUCCCCAACUACACUGUGAAUGGGCAAACACAUCCAUUUUCAUAUAAGAUAUUUCAGAUAUAAACUAAUGAUCACAGUCAUACUUUACCACUGUGGGCCCUACAGAUUAGAUAAGACUAAUGACCACGGUCUUAUUUCACCACUGUGGCUCGUACAUAUCAGAUAACGAAUCCACUAUUGUUAGAGGAAAUGCCAAUACCAUUCAUAGGGUGGUUCACCAAAAGAUAUAGAUUCAGAUACAGAAGUAGAAACCCCUCAGAGAUAAUGGUCAAACAGAUUUUCCAUUCUUUCCUCUUUCUUUACAAAUUUCCGUUCAUAGAUAGUUGCAAAAUUAGAACCUGGUGGAGGUCCAACAACAUAUCUUAGCCUUAAGGGCCAUUUUACUCGAACUUAGCCAUCGGGCCAUCUUCUUGAGUAGAGGCCCUAUAAAAUGAUCCUCUCCACCAUUACCCAAGGGCAAGUCAGAGGGCUAAACCUACACAUACUUUAAGUCAUCAAAAGCUAAUCCAGACAUGCUUUUCAUUUUUACAGAACACGAUCAACAUAUAUUCUCAUUGACAUCAGAUAGUUGAUAAAUCACAUUUUAAAUUCAUGCAUCAAGACAAGUUGAAAUCAUUAAUUAAAUAUUUAGAAUCUCCCUUAGAAAUGUAUGAGAAAAUAUCAAGAAAUUCCUUACUAAAACAUUUAUGAUUUUCGAAGUCCUAUGGAAAAAGGAUGAAAAGAUGUAUUGGCAACGCGAACCAUAAGAAGAAAUCCUAAAGUCUCUCACACAUUUUUUCCCAAACUUUUCUUUGGAUUUUGAGAUAGG
This 1191-nucleotide long non-coding RNA is filed under the name Carica papaya (papaya). Its description in RNAcentral is "long non-coding RNA (CPAP_LNC007060)". Lineage: Eukaryota; Viridiplantae; Streptophyta; Magnoliopsida; Brassicales; Caricaceae. The record is from RNAcentral.